UUUCUAGACCCAGUGUGCAUCAGCAUAAAUCCUGGAGUCUAAAUAUAUUCCAUAACUAAUUACUGGCAUAAGUAUCUCUUGACUAUGACAAGCAUCGAAUAGAGCUUCUGAACUGAAUUAUUGAGUCAAUAGAUUUCAGGUACAUGUAAUGAAUGUAUUGUGGUCAUGUGUGCUCUCUAUAACUUGGUUUAACAUUUCUUUUUGACUGAAAUGGAUUUCUGGAAAAUGUAACAGUUUUUGCGAUAUCUUAAUGCCGGAAAUUUUUUGAUGUGUAUCAGAUUCAAACUGUAAACAAAGAGAGGCUAGAAGAAUUGAAUAAGAAACUUGAGUUCAAUUAGAUUAAUGAAUACAAAGUCGUAAAGCUACAAAGGACCUCAGAAAUUAUGUUAUUUGCUGAUGAGAAGUCCGUCCCACUCCUUCCCUUGCAGCCCACUCAUGCAUGUGACUAGCUGAAGAACGCUUCUGAAGUGAAAGCCCAGGAUAAAAUGACGAGAAGCUGAGGAAAAAUGAGCAUUGUUGUGGGUGAAAUGAUGCCCCCCACAAAUAUAUCCAUGUCAACCCCUAGAACGUGUCCCAGACUCUGUGACCAUAUAAUACUGAAGAUCACUUACCAUAAAUGCUGAAAACUUCUAGAGCAGUGGGAAUUUGAAGCUAGCAUGUAGCAAAAGAAAGGAUUCUGGGUGUAAACAGUCUCAGACACAUGGAUAUAAAGUCUUUGAAUUCCAAAAGGGUAGAGCACGUCCAUGAAGAAGUGACAGGUGUAUUGAUAGGCUAUGGGAGGCCAGGUUCACUUUGGGGAAGGCAUAGGAGAGGAGGUGAGGGACAGGUAGGGACAGACUGGGGACCCAUCAUCAUCCCCACUCAUCAUCCUGUCCUCCCACGCCAAAUGUUCCAGAUGCCCUUCUAAAUUUCUCAUAUAGCGCAACUUCUAGGGGGCCAACAAUUGAAUGGAUUUUAUAAAUAUUUGACUAAACAAUUCUUAACAUUUGGAGAUUCUAUGAUUUCUCUUCAUCUCAGAAUUUUCAAAACAUCCUAUAAAACCAUUCUAUGACCAAUGGAAAAUAAAGUAAAACGGAUGUU
Mustela erminea (ermine) is the source of this 1080-nucleotide long non-coding RNA. RefSeq lists it as uncharacterized. NCBI's taxonomy places the organism in Eukaryota, Metazoa, Chordata, Mammalia, Carnivora, Mustelidae. The record is from RefSeq and is a predicted model, not a curated record. The transcript is spliced from 5 exons.